GAUGAACGCUGACAGCAUGCUUAACACAUGCAAGUCAACCUGAACUUCGGUUUGGGUGGCGGACGGGUGAGUAACGCGUAAAGAACUUGCCUCACAGAUAGGGACAACUUUUGGAAACGAAUGCUAAUACCUGAUAUUAUGAUUAUAUGGCAUCGUAUAAUCAUGAAAGUUAUAUGGGCUGUGAGUGAGCUUUGCGUCCCAUUAGCUAGUUGGAGAGGUAACGGCUCACCAUGGCGAUGAUGGGUAGCCGGCCUGAGGGGGUGAUCGGCCACAAGGGGACUGAGACACGGCCCUUACUCCGACGGGAGGCAGCAGUGGGGAAUAUUGGACAAUGGACCAAGAGUCUGAUCCAGCAAUUCUGUGUGGACGAUGAAGUUUUUCGGAAUGUAAAGUGCUUUCAGUUGGGAAGAAGAAAAUGACGGUACCAACAGAAGAAGUGACGGCUAAAUACGUG
RNAcentral lists this ribosomal RNA (454 nucleotides) under uncultured bacterium. RNAcentral describes it as "partial 16S ribosomal RNA". It matches the Rfam family "Bacterial small subunit ribosomal RNA", at positions 28 to 507 of the family's 1533-position model. The record is from RNAcentral.